AAAGGCUUGUUAAAACACACCUACCCCCAGAGUUUCUGAUUUGGGAGGUCCUGGUGGGGCUUGAGAAUCUGCACUUCCAACAAGUUCCCAGGUGACGUUGAUGCUGCUGGUCCAGGGACCACAUUUUGAGAAGCACUGAUUUAAACAACCCAGUUUCUCUGUGCGGAUCCUUUGCUUUGAAAACCCUUUUACUGCUCUGGCUUUGAAGGUGGAGUAAGGGGGCUACAAGCCAAGGAAUGUGGAACACCUCUAGAAGCUGGAAAAGGCAAGGAAAUAGAUGACUUGUGGAGCUCUGGAAAGGAACAACCCUGUCGACACCUUUAUUUUAGUCCAGUGAGACCCACGUUGGACUUCUAACCUACAGAACUUACGCGGGCCUCUCACUGUUGUGGCCUCUCCCAUUGCGGAGCACAGG
Long non-coding RNA from Aethalodelphis obliquidens (Pacific white-sided dolphin), 415 nucleotides. RefSeq lists it as uncharacterized. The transcript is spliced from 3 exons. The record is from RefSeq and is a predicted model, not a curated record. NCBI's taxonomy places the organism in Eukaryota, Metazoa, Chordata, Mammalia, Artiodactyla, Delphinidae.